CAACCUGCCCUUCAGAGGGGGACAACAGUUGGAAACGACUGCUAAUACCGCAUAAUGUAUCCGGGAGGCAUCUCCUGGAUACCAAAGGAGAAAUCCGCUGAUGGAUGGGCUCACGUCUGAUUAGCUAGUUGGUGAGGUAACGGCUCACCAAGGCUGCGAUCAGUAGCCGGACUGAGAGGUUGAACGGCCACAUUGGGACUGAGAUACGGCCCAG
RNAcentral lists this ribosomal RNA (214 nucleotides) under uncultured bacterium. Its description in RNAcentral is "partial 16S ribosomal RNA". It matches the Rfam family "Bacterial small subunit ribosomal RNA", at positions 122 to 334 of the family's 1533-position model. The record is from RNAcentral.